AUGGAUCCGAUAGCAUUCAAUUCAUAUGCAUAUCUAUAUCUAUAUGUUUAAGGAAAAAACUUCAAAUACCACCCUGUGAUUUCGUAUUUUUUCAUUUUAGUAUUCUGUGGUUUAAAGUAUAUCAAUUUAGUACCAUGUGGUUUUGUACUUUCUCACUUUAGUAUCCUGUGAUUUAAAGUGUAUCAAUUUAGUACCAUGUGAUUUUAUUUUUCACUUUUCGUCGGUUCCUCUGUUAAUAUUUCAUUAAAUUAUAUAUAAAAAAUUUCAGAUACCCUACCUAGGUUUAUCGAAUAUUUACUUUAGUACCAUUUAGUUUUAAUUUUGUUACUGAUUUUUUUUCAUCCGUUAAUAUUUCGUUAAAUUAUAUACAAAAAACUUAGGUACAAUAUAUAAGUUUAUCGAAUAUUCAUUUUAGUACUCUUUGAUUUUAAUUUUGUGACCGAUUUAACGAAAAAAAUUAGUGAAAUGAAUAAUAAAAAGAGAAAAAUAAAAUCACAUGGCACUAAUUUAAUACACCUUAAACCACAAGAUACUAAAGUGAGAAUAUGCGAAACCACAUGGGCUAACUUAAUACACUUUAAAUCACAGAGCACUAAAGUGAGAAAGUGUGAAACCACAGGGGAUAUUUAUAGUUUAAUUUAUUUUUAAUUCCAAUCCGAAUACGGAUUUAGAUAU
This 675-nucleotide long non-coding RNA is filed under the name Ananas comosus (pineapple). RNAcentral's name for it is "long non-coding RNA (ACOM_LNC031779)". Lineage: Eukaryota; Viridiplantae; Streptophyta; Magnoliopsida; Poales; Bromeliaceae. The record is from RNAcentral.